Non-coding RNA from Pelobates cultripes (western spadefoot toad), 221 nucleotides. NCBI's taxonomy places the organism in Eukaryota, Metazoa, Chordata, Amphibia, Anura, Pelobatidae. The record is from the annotation of a GenBank genome assembly.
AAACACAACAAUAUCCAGGUUGAAGAGUAAACCAUGAACCAAUCCGUGAUGACGUUGUUGACGCAAGUGACGCCGACGGAACCCGGAAGUGACGUCACAACACGGAAGUCGAUCAAAUUUUACCCGGGAAUUUCAGAGUUUACCAGACCUAUUUAAUGAGACUGUGAUCGGUUGUACCAUAUGCACCUUGGAAGAAGACGAAAGUCGAAACGCGUUGUGCC